This is a long non-coding RNA of Peromyscus leucopus (white-footed mouse), 1093 nucleotides long. RefSeq lists it as uncharacterized. The transcript is spliced from 2 exons. NCBI's taxonomy places the organism in Eukaryota, Metazoa, Chordata, Mammalia, Rodentia, Cricetidae. The record is from RefSeq and is a predicted model, not a curated record.
CUCAUACACAUAAAAUAAAUCUUAAAAACUUCUUAAUUGAAUAUGUAGGUAAGACAGUUUAAAUCUGAAUGUCCUCCACAGGCUUGUGGUUUUGCAUGUCUGGUUCCCCAGGUGAUGGUACUGUUUUGGAGGUUGUGGAGCCUUUAGAAGUUGAAGCCUGGCUGUCUAAAGUAGUUAGCCAGUGGUGGGGUCUUUAAUGCACUGCCUGGGUCUGGUCCUUCUCCCUUUGCUUCAUGGUCCACUGGAUGUGACAACUCUCUUCAUGGUCCUGCUGCCACAGACAGAGCCCUCCUCCUACCUUCCCUGCUGUGAUGGAUUCAGCUCUCCAACACCAUAAGCCCAAAUAAGCGUUUCCGCCCUUAAGUUGUUGGUGAGCAUUGGACCGUGAUGACGAGGAAGUAGCCGAUACAGACACAUCCCUCGAAGAUGCCACUAAGGUGUGCCUUGCCACCAGUGUGAAAUUAGGCAGCAUUCUGCGGUUUCAUCAUGUAAGCGAGAGUCUCCGACAAGAGGUGGAUUGAAAACUGAGAAGACAAGGUUUAAAUGUUGAUGACUGAAAUGGAAGACAGAGAGAGGAGAGGAGAAGAUGGUCCCUGUGAUUCAAAGUCAAGGAAAAAAUCAGCUUUCUCUGAACUCUUGUAUUAGUUACUUUUCUGUUGCUGUGACAAAACACUGUGACCGAGAACGCGUAUAGAAGAGUUUACUUUUGGCUCACGGUCCCAGAGAGUCGGAGUCCAUGAUGGCAGCACAACAUUGCAGCAAGUGGCAGACAUGACGGCAGGAACCAAAACAGGGAGCUCACAUCUUGAACUGUAAGCACAAGACAGAAGUAUGGUGCAGCCUUAAACUCUCAGGCUACAUACUUCCUCCAGCACAGCCUCAGAAAUAUCUCCUUCAAACCGCCACACACGCACAGAGUAAUAUUUCUAGAGAUUAAAUCUCUCUCUCAGUUUUCAUUCUAUGCUCACCUUCUCCUUAGACUUUGGCAUCCCACUUGCUCAGCCUGUUGGGAAAAGAUGUGCCUCCUUAAGGAAAAUGGCCACUCUGACCAUCAUGAUUGCUAUUGUCAAUAAAAAAUAUAUUUUUUUUUAAA